CCUGCAUAUUGUUAGAGCUUGGAGUUGAGGCCACUGGCUGGCAGAUGAACUUACAGGUGUAGUGUGCUGUAGGAGGGGGAAAUCUUUUGUUAACAGCGCAAGGAUCUCUGGCUCAGUGAGUGGAAUUUGAUAGUAAUUCUGGCUACAAGC
RNAcentral lists this small nucleolar RNA (150 nucleotides) under Panthera tigris altaica (Amur tiger). Lineage: Eukaryota; Metazoa; Chordata; Mammalia; Carnivora; Felidae. The record is from RNAcentral.